CAGUCGCCUCGGGAAUACAGAGGGUGCAAGCGUUAAUCGGAAUUACUGGGCGUAAAGCGCGCGUAGGUGGUUUGUUAAGUUGGAUGUGAAAGCCCCGGGCUCAACCUGGGAACUGCAUCCAAAACUGGCAAGCUAGAGUACGGUAGAGGGUGGUGGAAUUUCCUGUGUAGCGGUGAAAUGCGUAGAUAUAGGAAGGAACACCAGUGGCGAAGGCGACCACCUGGACUGAUACUGACACUGAGGUGCGAAAGCGUGGGGAGCAAACAGGAUUAGAUACCCGUGUAGUCCCUGUCUCUUAUAA
RNAcentral lists this ribosomal RNA (301 nucleotides) under uncultured bacterium. RNAcentral describes it as "partial 16S ribosomal RNA". It matches the Rfam family "Bacterial small subunit ribosomal RNA", at positions 509 to 809 of the family's 1533-position model. The record is from RNAcentral.